RNAcentral lists this transfer RNA (29 nucleotides) under Chloropipo unicolor (jet manakin). Its description in RNAcentral is "Xenopipo unicolor (jet manakin) partial tRNA-Met". Lineage: Eukaryota; Metazoa; Chordata; Aves; Passeriformes; Pipridae. The record is from RNAcentral.
AAAUGAUGGUUUAAACCCUUCCCUUACUA